This 828-nucleotide ribosomal RNA is filed under the name uncultured Gammaproteobacteria bacterium. Its description in RNAcentral is "bacterial SSU rRNA". It matches the Rfam family "Bacterial small subunit ribosomal RNA", at positions 46 to 865 of the family's 1533-position model. Lineage: Bacteria; Pseudomonadati; Pseudomonadota; Gammaproteobacteria. The record is from RNAcentral.
GCUUAACGCAUGCAAGUCGAACGGAAACGAUACUAGCUUGCUAGUAGGCGUCGAGUGGCGGACGGGUGAGUAACGCGUAGGAAUCUGCCUGAUAGUGGGGGAUAGCCCGAAGAAAUUCGGAUUAAUACCGCAUAAUCUAUUCGUAGUAAAGUGGGGGACUUUCGAGCCUCACGCUAUCAGAUGAGCCUGCGUAAGAUUAGCUUGUUGGUAGGGUAAAAGCCUACCAAGGCGACGAUCUUUAGCUGGUCUGAGAGGAUGAUCAGCCACAUCGGGACUGAGACACGGCCCGAACUCCUACGGGAGGCAGCAGUGGGGAAUAUUGGACAAUGGGGGCAACCCUGAUCCAGCAAUACCGCGUGUGUGAAGAAGGCCUGAGGGUUGUAAAGCACUUUCAAUUGUGAAGAAAAGUUAGCGGUUAAUAACCGUUAGCCUUGACGUUAACUUUAGAAGAAGCACCGGCUAACUCCGUGCCAGCAGCCGCGGUAAUACGGAGGGUGCAAGCGUUAAUCGGAAUUACUGGGCGUAAAGCGUGCGUAGGCGGUUUAUUAAGUCAGAUGUGAAAGCCCCGGGCUUAACCUGGGAACUGCAUUUGAAACUGGUCAACUAGAGUAUGGUAGAGGGAAGUGGAAUUUCUGGUGUAGCGGUGAAAUGCGUAGAUAUCAGAAGGAACAUCAAUGGCGAAGGCAGCUUUCUGGACCAAUACUGACGCUGAGGUACGAAAGCGUGGGUAGCAAACAGGAUUAGAUACCCUGGUAGUCCACGCCGUAAACGAUGAUAACUAGCCGUUGGGGGGAUUUACCCUUUAGUGGCGAAGCUAACGCGUUAAGU